CAGGCCUAACACAUGCAAGUCGAACGAUGGUCUUCGGAUCAUAGUGGCGCACGGGUGCGUAACGCGUGGGAAUCUGCCCCUUGGUUCGGGAUAACUUCUGGAAACGGAAGCUAAUACCGGAUGAUGACGUAAGUCCAAAGAUUUAUCGCCAUGGGAUGAGCCCGCGUCGGAUUAGCUAGUUGGUGGGGUAAAGGCCUACCAAGGCGACGAUCCGUAGCUGGUCUGAGAGGAUGAUCAGCCACACUGGGACUGAGACACGGCCCAGACUCCUACGGGAGGCAGCAGUGGGGAAUAUUGGACAAUGGGCGCAAGCCUGAUCCAGCAAUGCCGCGUGAGUGAUGAAGGCCUUAGGGUUGUAAAGCUCUUUUACCCGGGAUGAUAAUGACAGUACCGGGAGAAUAAGCCCCGGCUAACUCCGUGCCAGCAGCCGCGGUAAU
Molecule: ribosomal RNA, 437 nt
Filed under: uncultured bacterium
Lineage: Bacteria
Description: bacterial SSU rRNA
Rfam family: Bacterial small subunit ribosomal RNA
Source: RNAcentral